UGGGGAAUAUUGCACAAUGGGCGAAAGCCUGAUGCAGCAACGCCGCGUGCGGGAUGACGGCCUUCGGGUUGUAAACCGCUUUCACCAGGGGCGAAUGUAGACGGUACCUGGAGAAGAAGCACCGGCUAACUACGUGCCAGCAGCCGCGGUGAUACGUAGGGUGCGAGCGUUGUCCGGAUUUAUUGGGCGUAAAGAGCUCGUAGGGGGUUUGUUGCGUCGGAAGUGAAAACACAGGGCUUAACUUUGGGCUUGCUUUCGAUACGGGCAGACUUGAGGAAGGUAGGGGAGAACGGAAUUCCUGGUGGAGCGGUGGAAUGCGCAGAUAUCAGGAGGAACACCAGUGGCGAAGGCGGUUCUCUGGACCUUUCCUGACGCUGAGGAGCGAAAGCGUGGGGAGCAAACA
RNAcentral lists this ribosomal RNA (403 nucleotides) under uncultured prokaryote. RNAcentral describes it as "bacterial SSU rRNA". It matches the Rfam family "Bacterial small subunit ribosomal RNA", at positions 355 to 774 of the family's 1533-position model. The record is from RNAcentral.